AAAACAGAUUUCUAAAACCUUUGUCACCUUGUCUUUGUUACGAUGCAGGUUACACACCUUUGUGUCCCAUCACAAUUUAACCAAACUAUGCCCUGUGGAAGAUUCUACAAGGCCACAUCUAAUGGAAGCAAUGAGCACAGCGGUAUUAAACUCAAAGAUCACAGUGAAAGCUGUAGCCCACAGUGUUGCUCACGAUUUCAGAGGAGAAUUGAAAAUGAGGAGGAAUGGAAUAUUCGCAAGUGUCUACUUGUCAACAAAGCGUGCCAGGUGUGUUCUCUCAUCUCCGGGGAUCAGCAGCUUCCUGUAAUCUCCCUUUAUGCCUUUCAUUCACUCUAAUCACAAGGAUUUUACAAGAGGCCCUCCUUGACCCCAGGCAUGAGCUCGGCCCUUUAUUUGUAAGUGAACUCAGCAGUGUUCACUUAACACUUUUAAGGAUCUGCGCCCAGGGAAGGGGAAGCGUGGUCAGACAGCAGGCUCUCUGAACUCACCUUUCUGGACAAAGAUCUCCCUAGGCAUUGUACACGCCUCCUUCUUUUCUUUCCCCUUGAGCUGUCCGGGUUUCACAGCAAGUUAUAAAGCGAAGAGCCUCACCUGCCUUUGAGACCACCUCCCCUUGGCCCAGCUCAGUAGCUGGUCCUCAGGUAAGUGCAUGUUAAGUUCCCAGACUGUUCCAGAGAGGGUGACCGACUGUCCUGGUUUGCCAGGACUCUCCUGCCUGGGAGACCUCCCAGUGUGGGGCAGACUGGGACCAUCAGUCACCCUAGCAGGGGACAGUAGGGAUCCCCUGGCUGUUUCUUUAGCAACCUGAGCGGCUCACUUGGGAGGCUGCAUGGCCGAGCAGGCGAAGCACUUACAGUGGAAGCGAGGCCUGUGAUGCUGUCAACUUGCUUCUUAACCCUAGGAUGCUGUGAGAAUUAAAUUACAUAGUAGCUGCAAAAUAAUUUGGCUUUCUUGGAGUUGGACACCACCUGAACCUGAGUGAAAUGAUUGUGCACUUCUUAAUGGCCUCCAUCUCUGGCCAAGCUGCCUUGGGACCAGAACAAUCAUCUAAGUCCCAGUUUCCAGCCUAAAACAGCAUGAGGACAAGGCCAGGAGGCCACAGCAAGGCUGUAAUCAGAACCCACAAGGAUUGCAUGGAGAUGCUGCAGUGCCGCCACCACCCAACGGCCGGAGCCCCCAGCAAAGAGUUUUCCACAAAAUGGGAGAAAAGUAUAAGAAGCUCUUCCUGCUAUGGGUAAGGUAGUGAAAUUACAAGUCAUUCACUAAAUAUAAAUUCAAAUGUAAAGAUAUAUGUGAUUCUUGAAUAUAUGAAAUGUGUUCAGAUAGUCUUUCAAGGAGCCCAGCUGCCUGACCCCUAUAAGGACCCCAGGACACUGUCCUCUGGAGUGGAGCUGUAUUUGAUGUGUGUUUAUCCAUCACUAGACUGUAAGUGACAGAUAAAUCUUACAACAGGGCUCAUGUCUGCUUUAUCUUCAUUUUAUCUCCAGAGCCCCAAUACAAUGCUUCGUACCUAGAAGGCUCUCAGAAACAGAAAUCUGGUGAAUUAGUUAAAUUAUAUGCUUCUCUGCCCUCUGCCCUCCAUAAGAAAAAAAGAAAAGACCUAUAAAAGGCAUUCUGAA
This 1619-nucleotide long non-coding RNA is filed under the name Homo sapiens (human). RNAcentral's name for it is "HSALNT0339866". The record is from RNAcentral. Lineage: Eukaryota; Metazoa; Chordata; Mammalia; Primates; Hominidae.